RNAcentral lists this ribosomal RNA (497 nucleotides) under uncultured bacterium. RNAcentral's name for it is "partial 16S ribosomal RNA". It matches the Rfam family "Bacterial small subunit ribosomal RNA", at positions 28 to 507 of the family's 1533-position model. The record is from RNAcentral.
GAUGAACGCUGGCGGCGUGCCUAAUACAUGCAAGUCGAGCGAACAGACGAGGAGCUUGCUCCUCUGACGUUAGCGGCGGACGGGUGAGUAACACGUGGAUAACCUACCUAUAAGACUGGGAUAACUUCGGGAAACCGGAGCUAAUACCGGAUAAUAUAUUGAACCGCAUGGUUCAAUAGUGAAAGACGGUUUUGCUGUCACUUAUAGAUGGAUCCGCGCCGCAUUAGCUAUUUGGUAAGGUAACGGCUUACCAAGGCGACGAUGCGUAGCCGACCUGAGAGGGUGAUCGGCCACACUGGAACUGAGACACGGUCCAGACUCCUACGGGAGGCAGCAGUAGGGAAUCUUCCGCAAUGGGCGAAAGCCUGACGGAGCAACGCCGCGUGAGUGAUGAAGGUCUUCGGAUCGUAAAACUCUGUUAUUAGGGAAGAACAAAUGUGUAAGUAACUAUGCACGUCUUGACGGUACCUAAUCAGAAAGCCACGGCUAACUACGUG